Molecule: transfer RNA, 76 nt
Filed under: Magnetococcales bacterium
Lineage: Bacteria; Pseudomonadati; Pseudomonadota; Magnetococcia; Magnetococcales
Description: tRNA-His
Rfam family: tRNA
About the family: Transfer RNA (tRNA) molecules are approximately 80 nucleotides in length. Their secondary structure includes four short double-helical elements and three loops (D, anti-codon, and T loops). Further hydrogen bonds mediate the characteristic L-shaped molecular structure. tRNAs have two regions of fundamental functional importance: the anti-codon, which is responsible for specific mRNA codon recognition, and the 3' end, to which the tRNAs corresponding amino acid is attached (by aminoacyl-tRNA synthetases). tRNAs cope with the degeneracy of the genetic code in two manners: having more than one tRNA (with a specific anti-codon) for a particular amino acid; and 'wobble' base-pairing, i.e. permitting non-standard base-pairing at the 3rd anti-codon position.
Source: RNAcentral
GCGGUCGUAGCUCAGUCGGUAGAGCCCUGGAUUGUGAUUCCAGUUGUCGCGAGUUCAAAUCUCGUCGAUCGCCCCA